Molecule: long non-coding RNA, 1225 nt
Filed under: Oryzias javanicus (javanese ricefish)
Lineage: Eukaryota; Metazoa; Chordata; Actinopteri; Beloniformes; Adrianichthyidae
Description: lncRNA (ENSOJAG00000012077.1)
Source: RNAcentral
CGCCACUUAAAUCCUCUUAAACAGCCCCGUCACUUUCAGAAAUUUCCAUAAUGGUCUCCUGUCCUCUCCCGUCCUGGACAAUAUACCCCUUACGUCCGUUAUCUGGAAACCCCUCUUAAAAUCCUCAAUCAUCACCUGUCUUUCACAAACAUACUUUCCACAGUCCAUCAACACAUGCUCUACUGUUUCCACAGACCUACAUUCAUCACACUCUCCAUUGACAUGAUUCCCCACCAUCUGCAAGGUAUUAUUUAGAUUGCUAUGCCCUAUUCUCAGCCUGGUAAACACCACCUCUCAAUCUGUACAGAACUGUUAAAUAUUAAAUAUUUGUGGAUAAAGUAGAAUGGAAUGAGGUAGUUGCUGUGAGCACAGCAUAAUAAAUAUUGAGUUUAUGUUAAUGGCUUAAUGGCUUUUAUGAUGAAGAUGUAUCAUGUCAUCAUUUAUUAAGGUAUUUGUCUUGUCUUUACAGCCUCCUAAAAAGAUCUGCCAUCAACCAGUCAACAGUUGGACGGUUGGGUUGGCCCUGAUAAUAUUGAAGGUUAUGGCGCCCUGCAGGAGCUGGCUAGUUUCUUGGUUGACCUCCAGGACCAUAAUCUAGUGGUGACUGAAGAAGAGGUUAAUCGGAUCAUUUCUCUGUGGCAAUCAUUGGUGGAUUAUGACAAAUGCAGAACAGUCUACUCCCACCGUCACCAAGCCCACCUGAAGCAGGGCAGAUUUAGGGCUACCAAAAUGAUUGAAGCCCCCGGUGUGGAAAGCACAAAAAGGUGAGCAGACAAAAAACAGAAAAGAGUUGUGCACAGGAGAUGACGCAGAACCAACUGUUGAGCUUUAAAAUUCAGUUCUUUCUCAUACAUGCUUGUCCUUUUCUUUUUCCCUUUUUUUUCAUGAAGGUGAUUUAUUGACGCUCACAGUCCUGCACAGUGGCCAGACUGCAACCGAGUGGUGGAGGCACUAUUUGUGAGACUCUGUGUUGUAUCCAAACGCUGUGCCCUGUGAGGGGAAGAAGAUUUCUCCAUUCACAAUGGUUGUGUGCACGUACAAGACGAACAGAGAGUGCAUUGUCUCCAUAAUAGUGAGUGAGACCAGCAUCCAGCUCCCAGAAGUAAAUGCUGCUACACUCACACAAUGGUAAGUAAAUGAGAAGGAUUUGAAUACAUGAAUGUUCUUCCUCAUGGGUACGUUUUCAGCAGCAUCCAAGAUAAAAAGAGAAGAGGCUGGAUCAUUU